Molecule: long non-coding RNA, 821 nt
Filed under: Phoenix dactylifera (date palm)
Lineage: Eukaryota; Viridiplantae; Streptophyta; Magnoliopsida; Arecales; Arecaceae
Description: long non-coding RNA (PDAC_LNC014789)
Source: RNAcentral
CAACAAGUCAAUUAGAUUCCUGUUUAUGUCAUUGGAGAGCAUAAAGGUUCUAAUCAUGCAAGAGGCUGAACGGAUUUAGACAGUAAAACCACUAAUAAUUUGAAAUCAAUUAUUGCGCAGAAAAACAAAAAUAACUUUGAAGAUUUCAUAAUUUUCCAAUGAAAUUUCCGGUGAAAUGCUGGGUUUUCUUAACAAGAUGAGAGACCGGCAAGAACAAAUUUGACACUACUGUCAUGAAAUAGCAUGCAAACUGUUCCACUUGAUGAUCUUCAAACCAUUCCAAAAUCAUCACUACUCCAGGCAGCACUUCUGAUUACUACUUUAUUACCUGGUUACAAACAAGAAGGAUCCCAGGCUCGUAAUAAGUUCCUUAUCACUUUUCUUUUUUACCCUUCCAAAGAGAGAAUUAUAUUAAGGGAUAAUGUAGUUAACCACCUAUCCCACUGAGCUUCACCAAGUACAAGCAGAGAAUCGUUGUCUCGGAGACAUGUAAGUCCAAAGAACAAAGAAAAGGAGCAUCCCAUUGUCCCGAAGGUAAAUCUACAUGAACACCGUAGUCCAAGCUUUUGGAAUCACAUGCUAUAGAUUACUAGAGUGAAGCAAAGAAUAUGUACUCAUUAUCUCCAUAAUGUGAUUUUCCAGCUUAAAUAGGAUCAAGCAAGAAAAUAGCAUAUUAAGCCUAGACAUUAAGGACUAAAUAUCCCCAGAAUUGAUGUUCUGAUGGAGAUGUUCUUUGGAUUCAAAUCCUUACAUCUGAGAAGCAAGCUGUCUUCUUUGUAGUCAAAACAGGCUGCAUUAAAAAACAUCAAGAAUCAACUCAU